AUUGAACGCUGGCGGCAGGCUUAACACAUGCAAGUCGAACGAGUGGCGGACGGGUGAGUAAUGUCUGGGAAACUGCCUGAUGGAGGGGGAUAACUACUGGAAACGGUCGCUAAUACCGCAUACCAUCAGAUGUGCCCAGAUGGGAUUAGCUAGUAGGUGGGGUAAUGGCUCACCUAGGCGACGAUCCCUAGCUGGUCUGAGAGGAUGACCAGCCACACUGGAAUUGAGACACGGUCCAGACUCCUACGGGAGGCAGCAGUGGGGAAUAUUGCACAAUGGGGGCAAGCCUGAUGCAGCCAUGCCGCGUGUAUGAAGAAGGCCUUCGGGUUGUAAAGCACUUUCAGCGAGGAGGCGUUACUCGCAGAAUAAGCACCGGCUAACUCCGUGCCAGCAGCCGCGGUAAUAC
RNAcentral lists this ribosomal RNA (406 nucleotides) under uncultured bacterium. Its description in RNAcentral is "partial 16S ribosomal RNA". It matches the Rfam family "Bacterial small subunit ribosomal RNA", at positions 30 to 526 of the family's 1533-position model. The record is from RNAcentral.